RNAcentral lists this ribosomal RNA (259 nucleotides) under uncultured bacterium. RNAcentral describes it as "partial 16S ribosomal RNA". It matches the Rfam family "Bacterial small subunit ribosomal RNA", at positions 9 to 263 of the family's 1533-position model. The record is from RNAcentral.
CAGGUUUGAUCCUGGCUCAGGAUGAACGCUAGCGGCAGGCUUAACACAUGCAAGUCGAGGGGCAGCGGGGUGUAGCAAUACACUGCCGGCGACCGGCGCACGGGUGCGUAACGCGUAUGCAACCUACCCAUAACAGGGGCAUAACACUGAGAAAUUGGUACUAAUUCCCCAUAACAUUCGAAGAGGCAUCUCUUUGGGUUGAAAACUCCGGUGGUUAUGGAUGGGCAUGCGUUGUAUUAGCUAGUUGGUGGGGUAACGG